UCCUAAGGUAGCGAAAUUCCUUGUCGGGUAAGUUCCGACCUGCACGAAUGGCGUAAUGAUGGCCAGGCUGUCUCCACCCGAGACUCAGUGAAAUUGAACUCGCUGUGAAGAUGCAGUGUACCCGCGGCAAGACGGAAAGACCCCGUGAACCUUUACUAUAGCUUGACACUGAACAUUGAGCCUUGAUGUGUAGGAUAGGUGGGAGGCUUUGAAGUGUGGACGCCAGUCUGCAUGGAGCCGACCUUGAAAUACCACCCUUUAAUGUUUGAUGUUCUAACGUGGACCCGUGAUCCGGGUUGCGGACAGUGUCUGGUGGGUAGUUUGACUGGGGCGGUCUCCUCCUAAAGAGUAACGGAGGAGCACGAAGGUUGGCUAAUCCUGGUCGGACAUCAGGAGGUUAGUGCAAUGGCAUAAGCCAGCUUGACUGCGAGCGUGACGGCGCGAGCAGGUGCGAAAGCAGGUCAUAGUGAUCCGGUGGUUCUGAAUGGAAGGGCCAUCGCUCAACGGAUAAAAGGUACUCCGGGGAUAACAGGCUGAUACCGCCCAAGAGUUCAUAUCGACGGCGGUGUUUGGCACCUCGAUGUCGGCUCAUCACAUCCUGGGGCUGAAGUAGGUCCCAAGGGUAUGGCUGUUCGCCAUUUAAAGUGGUACGCGAGCUGGGUUUAGAACGUCGUGAGACAGUUCGGUCCCUAUCUGCCGUGGGCGCUGGAGAACUGAGGGGGGCUGCUCCUAGUACGAGAGGACCGGAGUGGACGCAUCACUGGUGUUCGGGUUGUCAUGCCAAUGGCACUGCCCGGUAGCUAAAUGCGGAAGAGAUAAGUGCUGAAAGCAUCUAAGCACGAAACUUGCCCCGA
Molecule: ribosomal RNA, 854 nt
Filed under: Salmonella enterica
Lineage: Bacteria; Pseudomonadati; Pseudomonadota; Gammaproteobacteria; Enterobacterales; Enterobacteriaceae
Description: partial 23S ribosomal RNA
Rfam family: Bacterial large subunit ribosomal RNA
Source: RNAcentral